This 253-nucleotide ribosomal RNA is filed under the name uncultured bacterium. Its description in RNAcentral is "partial 16S ribosomal RNA". It matches the Rfam family "Bacterial small subunit ribosomal RNA", at positions 524 to 776 of the family's 1533-position model. The record is from RNAcentral.
UACGAAGGGAGCUAGCGUUGUUCGGAAUCACUGGGCGUAAAGCGAACGUAGGCGGAUUUGUCAGUCGGGGGUGAAAUCCCGAGGCUCAACCUCGGAACUGCCUCCGAUACAGCAAAUCUCGAGUCCGGGAGAGGUGGGUGGAAUUCCUAGUGUAGAGGUGAAAUUCGUAGAUAUUAGGAAGAACCCCAGUGGCGAAGGCGGCCCACUGGCCCGGUACUGACGCUGCGGUGCGAAAGCGUGGGGAGCAAACAGG